AUGUCACCUCGAAUGGCCAAAGGGGCUGAACUGCACGAACCGUUCCGUCUCCUCCCACUUUCACACCCAGUCUAUCGUCGCCGACCCGGGGGCGUGCGAGCUCCAAGGUCUCCGGAGGAGCGGGAGGCAGGGAGCCCGUGGUUCGUCGCCCGAGCCCGCGCGUGGCCGGCUCCCCGUGCGCCCCGGGGCGCGGGCCUCGGCCGGCCGCAGCUCCCCAGCCCCCCCGCACAGGCGGCGCGAGGCGGGCGGGAGCAGGGCGCCGGGCUACGAGCGGCUCCGGGGCUCGGGCGGCGGCUGGAAGGCCGGGUUUCUGUAGGCCACCAGGUGCGCGGCGCGGCGCGGCGGGCGCGGGGCCCGGCGCCGGCGGCACAGACACAGCGCGAGCAGCAGGCUGGCGACGAGCAGCAGGCCGCAGGCGGCGCACAGCCCCGCCAGGACGAGCGCGGAGCUGGGCUUGGUGGUGAAGGCGGCGCAGGCCCGCGGCCGGCCCAGGCCCGAGGCCCGCGGCAGGCUCAGGCCCGCGGCGUUGGCGGCCAGGACGCACACGCGGUACGCGGUGGCCGGCGAGAGCCCGUGCAGGGCGUGCUGCCGCGCCGUGGCGCAGAUGCCGGCCACCACCGACUGCGACCGGUUCCCCGGGCCGCCCUCGGCCGAGUAGCGGAUCUGGUAGCCGCGCACCGCCGAGUUGGGGGCGCACCAGCGGACGAGCGCCGACGUGUCGCCGACCUCGGUGACCGCCUGCAGCCGCGGCGGGUCCGGCGCCGUGUCCUCCCCGCUGAGGCCGGGGCACCGGCACCGCCAGCGCCUCUGCAGCUCGGCGCACGGGGUCUGCAGGUGCCUGCAGGGGUGGUAGUCGCAGGGCGCGUCCCGCGGAGGCGCCGCCGCCGGCCCGUGCUGCCCCGCCCCCGCCCCCGCCCCCGCCCCCGCCUCCUCCUCGCUGGAGUCGCCCAGCAGCAAGACUGGAAUGGCGCCCUCGGAGGGACCCGGCUGGGGAGCCCGAGGGGGCGCCUGCGGGCCGCGGGAGGCGGGGGGCAGCCCCGGGGCCUCGGGGACGCCGCGUCCGGCUCCCGCAGGCCGAGCGGGGCGGGCGGUGCUCCGUGGGGCGGCGGCGCGCGGGGCCGGCGGCGCGUGGGCGAAGGGCCCAGGGGGACGCGUGGCCUCGGGGACGGCGGCGCUUCGGGCCCGGGGGCAGGCGGCGGGCAGCCGGGACAGCGGGAGGGGGGCCGCGGAGACGCCGUGGGAUCCCGAGGCUGGUGCGCACGCCGUGUCUGCUGCCCUGGAGGGGACGCCAGCAAGUUAGGAGGUUUCUUCUGACUAAAGGCUGGCUUUCUCCACCUGCCUGGGAACCUUCUGCCUUCCUCAACUACUCUGGGGAGAAGCUCAUGUGCUAG
RNAcentral lists this long non-coding RNA (1391 nucleotides) under Canis lupus familiaris (dog). Its description in RNAcentral is "lncRNA (ENSCAFG00845027185.1)". Lineage: Eukaryota; Metazoa; Chordata; Mammalia; Carnivora; Canidae. The record is from RNAcentral.